CUUGACCAGAUACAAUCUUUAACUGAAUACGAAGCUAUUCCUGCAGUUGGAGUUUUCUUUAAUUUCUCUCUCACUGUCCUCAAUCAAGAGGUUGGGAAAUAUCGGUUUCAGAAAUUUGAACUCACCAGUUCUAGGGACUCCGGUCAGACAGACGUCAUACUGGUAGCUCUGGGACAGGGUCCCCGCGCCGCUGACGUCCACCAGGUGGCCCGGAAAGUGGCCCUCGGGCACCGCGCAGCCACCCCCCGACGCCGCCCCGCUCCUCCUGCACAGCCGCACCGCCACGAACGCCAGCGCCGAGCACAGGAAGAGCGACGACACGGACGCCAAGGCGAUGACCAGGUAGACGGUGAGCGGGUCGGCCCGGGCCUCGGCCGCCGCCACGUCCGGCAGCGGCAGGUAGGGCUGCGAGAAGCCGUCCACCAGCAGCACGUGCAGCGUGACGCUGGCCGACAGCGGCGGCUCGCCAUUGUCCUUGACCAGCACCAGCAGCCUGUGCCUGACGGCGUCGCGCUCGCUCAGCAGCCGGGCCGUGCGCACCUCGCCGUUGUGCGCCCACACGCCGAACAGCCCGGGCUCCGUGGCCUUGAGCAGCUGGAACGACAGCCAGGCGUUCUGGCCCGAGUCGCCGUCCACCGCCACCACCUUGGUCACCAGGUAGCCCGCCUCGGCCGCCCGCGGCACCAGCUCGGUGCAGGGCGCAGAGCCGUUCUGCAGCGGGUACAGCACGAAGGGCGCGUUGUCGUUGUCGUCCAGCACCAGCACGCGCACCAGCGCCUGGCUGCUCAGCGCGGGCGAGCCGCGGUCGGCCGCGCCCACGCGGACCUCGAAGGCCUGCAGCGCCUCGUAGUCCAGGGACCUGAGCGCGAACAGCUGCCCGUUGUCCGCGUUGAUGGACACCAGCGAGGCGAGCGGCAGGUGCGGGUCCCGGGGCGGCAGCAGCGAGUAGGUGACCUGGGCGUUGGCGCCCGCGUCUCUGUCGGUGGCGCUCACGGUGCCGAUGUGCAGGGCGGGGCUGUUGUUCUCGCGGACGCGCAGGGUGUAGGUGGUCUGGCUGAAGGCGGGGGCGUUGUCGUUGACGUCGGAGACCGUCACGGUGCCGAUGUGCAGGGCGGGGCUGUUGUUCUCGCGGACGCGCAGGGUGUAGGUGGUCUGGCUGAAGGCGGGGGCGUUGUCGUUGACGUCGGAGACCGUCACGGUGAUGUUGUGCUGGGUCUUCAGCCUGGGGGUCCCCAGGUCACUGACGGUGAUGGUGAUGUUGUACUCCGCCUGGCUCUCUCUGUCCAGCGCCCCAUUUGUUACCAGGGUGUAAAAAUUCUCAACAGAAGGUUUAAGCAAGAAAGGAAGAUCAUCUUGAAUGGAACAAACCAUUCUUCCAUUGUCUCCCGAGUCAGGAUCUGA
Molecule: long non-coding RNA, 1401 nt
Filed under: Canis lupus familiaris (dog)
Lineage: Eukaryota; Metazoa; Chordata; Mammalia; Carnivora; Canidae
Description: lncRNA (ENSCAFG00040003803.1)
Source: RNAcentral